UACGGAGGGUGCAAGCGUUAAUCGGAAUUACUGGGCGUAAAGCGCACGCAGGCGGUUGGAUAAGUUAGAUGAGAAAGAACCGGGCUCAACCUUGGAAUUGCAUUUAAAACUGUCCAGCUAGAGUCUUGUAGAGGGGGGUAGAAUUCCAGGUGUAGCGGUGAAAUGCGUAGAGAUCUGGAGGAAUACCGGUGGCGAAGGCGGCCCCCUGGACAAAGACUGACGCUCAGGUGCGAAAGCGUGGGGAGCAAACAGG
RNAcentral lists this ribosomal RNA (253 nucleotides) under uncultured bacterium. Its description in RNAcentral is "partial 16S ribosomal RNA". It matches the Rfam family "Bacterial small subunit ribosomal RNA", at positions 524 to 776 of the family's 1533-position model. The record is from RNAcentral.